AACGAACGCUGGCGGCAGGCUUAACACAUGCAAGUCGAGCGGGCACCUUCGGGUGUCAGCGGCGGACGGGUUAGUAACGCGUGGGAACGUGCCCUUCACUGCGGAAUAGCUCCGGGAAACUGGUGGUAAUACCGCAUGCGCCCUAAGGGGGAAAGAUUUAUCGGUGAGGGAUCGGCCCGCGUCUGAUUAGGUAGUUGGUGAGGUAACGGCUCACCAAGCCGACGAUCGGUAGCUGGUUUGAGAGGAUGAUCAGCAACACUGGGACUGAGACACGGCCCAGACUCCUACGGGAGGCAGCAGUGGGGAAUCUUAGACAAUGGGCGCAAGCCUGAUCUAGCCAUGCCGCGUGGAUGAUGAAGGCCUUAGGGUCGUAAAGUCCUUUCGCCGGGGAAGAUAAUGACGGUACCCGGUAAAGAAACCCCGGCUAACUCCGUGCCAGCCGCCGCAGUAAGAC
Molecule: ribosomal RNA, 454 nt
Filed under: uncultured bacterium
Lineage: Bacteria
Description: bacterial SSU rRNA
Rfam family: Bacterial small subunit ribosomal RNA
Source: RNAcentral